UAGGGAAUCUUCGGCAAUGGACAAAAGUCUGACCGAGCAACGCCGCGUGAGUGAAGAAGGUUUUCGGAUCGUAAAACUCUGUUGUUAGAGAAGAACAAGGACGUUAGUAACUGAACGUCCCCUGACGGUAUCUAACCAGAAAGCCACGGCUAACUACGUGCCAGCAGCCGCGGUAAUACGUAGGUGGCAAGCGUUGUCCGGAUUUAUUGGGCGUAAAGCGAGCGCAGGCGGUUUCUUAAGUCUGAUGUGAAAGCCCCCGGCUCAACCGGGGAGGGUCAUUGGAAACUGGGAGACUUGAGUGCAGAAGAGGAGAGUGGAAUUCCAUGUGUAGCGGUGAAAUGCGUAGAUAUAUGGAGGAACACCAGUGGCGAAGGCGGCUCUCUGGUCUGUAACUGACGCUGAGGCUCGAAAGCGUGGGGAGCAAACAGG
RNAcentral lists this ribosomal RNA (429 nucleotides) under Chloroflexota bacterium. RNAcentral's name for it is "Chloroflexi bacterium partial 16S ribosomal RNA". It matches the Rfam family "Bacterial small subunit ribosomal RNA", at positions 355 to 776 of the family's 1533-position model. RNAcentral also lists the same sequence under 1 other name. Lineage: Bacteria; Bacillati; Chloroflexota. The record is from RNAcentral.